This is a non-coding RNA of Durio zibethinus, 931 nucleotides long. The record is from RefSeq and is a predicted model, not a curated record. Lineage: Eukaryota; Viridiplantae; Streptophyta; Magnoliopsida; Malvales; Malvaceae.
AGCUUGGGAGGAGCUGCAACAGAAGAGGAUGGGGAAUUAGUUGCUAAAUUAUUUGGAUCAGUUGGCAAGAUAUGGAGAGCUGGUGAGAAAUUGUUUGGUGCUAUCACUGGCCUCAGGAGUUAAUCCUUUCCAUUAUUGGUUGCCCUUUGCUUCUGUUUGACUGUGGCAUGGUCCAGCGUACAUAUAUUUAGCGAUUGAAGCUUUGGCUGAUGGAGGAGUUGCUGCUGGUCUUCCACGAGAACUAGCAUUGGGACUAGCUUCUCAGACUGUUAGGAGCAGCUUCUGUGGCCAUUAAAUCCGAGAAGCACGCUGGUCAGCUCAAAGAUGACGUUACAUCACCUGGUGGGACUACGAUUGCCGGCAUUCACGAGUUAGAGAAGAGUGGCUUUCGGGGGGGUGUUGAUGAAUACUGUUGUGGCUGCUGCUAAGCACAGCUAAGAACUUUCCAAGAGUCAAGUCCAUCCGAUUCAACAUUUUGAAAUCUUACAACAUAAUAGCUGGACGAUCAUUUUAUCUCCCUGAACAAUAAGAGCGAGUAAGCAGUUUUGCUUUGCAUUUGUUUCUUCUUCUUCUUCAUUUUUUUUUCUUUCUGUAUUUGCAGGGUUAACAGAUUUCUAUACAAUGCUUCUUUACGACAACCCGUGUUGAUCAGAUUUUAUUCCUACUGGCUACUGGUGAUGCAUGCAAUUGCUAUGUAUUUUCUGGUACACUAGAUACGGUUUACACGACUCUGGAUUCUAUGAGUUUUGGUGGUAGAAAAUUCUGUCUCUGGCUGUUUUCCUUUUCAGAGGAACAUGGAAAGAAAGUAGUUACUCCUUUUCUUCUAUACCUGGCCCCGAACAUAAAAAAUUCGCCCAACUCAUCUAAUUCAUAACCUGAUCCAACUUGAUUGACCAUAAAAUGCUAACGACUUGAAAUCGAUUAUUCAGAA